RNAcentral lists this small nuclear RNA (130 nucleotides) under Clytia hemisphaerica. Its description in RNAcentral is "U2 spliceosomal RNA". The stretch from base 1 to 110 matches the Rfam family "U2 spliceosomal RNA". From Rfam's summary of the family: U2 is a small nuclear RNA (snRNA) component of the spliceosome (involved in pre-mRNA splicing). Complementary binding between U2 snRNA (in an area lying towards the 5' end but 3' to hairpin I) and the branchpoint sequence (BPS) of the intron results the bulging out of an unpaired adenosine, on the BPS, which initiates a nucleophilic attack at the intronic 5' splice site, thus starting the first of two transesterification reactions that mediate splicing. The record is from RNAcentral. Lineage: Eukaryota; Metazoa; Cnidaria; Hydrozoa; Leptothecata; Clytiidae.
AUCGCUUCUCGGCCUAAUGGCUAAGAUCAAGUGUAGUAUCUGUUCUUAUCUGUUGGGAAAGCGAGACUGUCCGUAACCCGGCUAUUGGUUAUUCCAAUUUAAAAGCCCGAUUGGAGAGCCGAGACUCGAU